This 333-nucleotide ribosomal RNA is filed under the name Zoophthora phalloides. RNAcentral describes it as "SSU rRNA". It matches the Rfam family "Bacterial small subunit ribosomal RNA", at positions 368 to 777 of the family's 1533-position model. Lineage: Eukaryota; Fungi; Entomophthoromycota; Entomophthoromycetes; Entomophthorales; Entomophthoraceae. The record is from RNAcentral.
GCAAUGGGCAAGGCGCCUGAUCCAGCCAGAUAGUAAGAGUGUGAUUAACACUCCACUCAAAAGAAAAAACAAAACAAUGAUAGAAGUUUUCAUUAUAUCCUGACUAAUUUCGUGCCAGCAGUCGCGGCAAUACGUGAAGGAUAAGCGUAAUUCAUCAUCACUAGGUAUCAAGCGUCUGUAGGCGGCGUAUCGAAUGUAAGCUAGAGUCUGACUAGGAAAUUGGAAUUUAAUAAGUAAGGAUAAAAUCUUUUGAUUUAUUAAAGAAUUUUAUGCGAAGGCAUAUUUCUCUGAACGACUGACGCUAAGAGACUAAAGUGUGGGUAGCGAAAAGGA